This 148-nucleotide non-coding RNA is filed under the name Homo sapiens (human). Lineage: Eukaryota; Metazoa; Chordata; Mammalia; Primates; Hominidae. The record is from Rfam by way of RNAcentral.
GCUGGGCAUGGUGGUGCGUGCCUGUAGUCCCAGCUACUCAGGAGGCUGAGGCACAAGAAUCACUUGAACCCAGGAGGCAGAGGCUGCAGUGAGCCGAGAUCACGCCACUGCACUCUGGCCUGGGUGACAGAGUGAGACCCUGUCUCAA